Molecule: long non-coding RNA, 567 nt
Organism: Cucumis melo (muskmelon)
Lineage: Eukaryota; Viridiplantae; Streptophyta; Magnoliopsida; Cucurbitales; Cucurbitaceae
Exons: 3
Source: RefSeq, a predicted model, not a curated record
UUCCUUCAUAUUUUGCAGAGAUGAUCCUUCUCCACAGGGCAUUUAUUUCGUUUUGGUACCUUUACAACCAUUUGCAAAGCAAGGCAUAAUUUGUAUGUUUGAUCCUUUUUAUAACUAGGCUUCCUUUGUGUUCUGGAGUUGUGACUAAAGACCAUUUGGCCAAGUGAGAUUAAGGGGGUUUCCCAUGUACAAAGUAGAAGAAUGGGCAGUAAACUGAAGUUUGAACUUGAGAGAUUUCUCAGUUUUGAUUUGUGUUCUUCUCCCUAUACUCAAACAAAUAAACACAGAGGACACUGAGCUAGAAACAGAGGCCAUGAUGCAUAAAGUAUCAUCGGAACUUGAGAUUCUUGGAAGACAUCAGCACCCUAAUCUAACUGGUCCAUUCUUAAAGGUCACUUCUGAAUUAUGCAUAUCCACUUUGUGCUAAGGUUUGCAAUAAUUAAUGACUUUCUGUUGAGAGGUCUAUAGUACUUUGCAUUGCUGUAAGAUUUUUGUUAUUAUGACCAUUCUAUUGAGUAUCUUUGCUCAUUGAGCUCUUUGGUGAGCUUUUGGACUCCUUUGGGUGGG